This 465-nucleotide ribosomal RNA is filed under the name Vreelandella stevensii. Its description in RNAcentral is "partial 16S ribosomal RNA". It matches the Rfam family "Bacterial small subunit ribosomal RNA", at positions 338 to 795 of the family's 1533-position model. The record is from RNAcentral. Lineage: Bacteria; Pseudomonadati; Pseudomonadota; Gammaproteobacteria; Oceanospirillales; Halomonadaceae.
CCUACGGGAGGCUGCAGUGGGGAAUAUUGGACAAUGGGGGGAACCCUGAUCCAGCCAUGCCGCGUGUGUGAAGAAUGCCCUCGGGUUGUAAAGCACUUUCAGUGAGGAAGAACGCCUGGUGGUUAAUACCCAUCAGGAAAGACAUCACUCACAGAAGAAGCACCGGCUAACUCCGUGCCAGCAGCCGCGGUAAUACGGAGGGUGCGAGCGUUAAUCGGAAUUACUGGGCGUAAAGCGCGCGUAGGUGGCUUGAUAAGCCGGUUGUGAAAGCCCCGGGCGCAACCUGGGAACGGCAUCCGGAACUGGCAAGCUAGAGUGCAGGAGAGGAAGGUAGAAGUCCCGGUGUAGCGGUGAAAUGCGUAGAGAUCGGGAGGAAUACCAGUGGCGAAGGCGGCCUUCUGGACUGACACUGACACUGAGGUGCGAAAGCGUGGGUAGCAAACAGGAUUAGAUACCCCAGUAGUC